This 70-nucleotide transfer RNA is filed under the name Osteocephalus oophagus (oophagous slender-legged treefrog). Its description in RNAcentral is "tRNA-Trp". It matches the Rfam family "tRNA". Rfam says of the family: Transfer RNA (tRNA) molecules are approximately 80 nucleotides in length. Their secondary structure includes four short double-helical elements and three loops (D, anti-codon, and T loops). Lineage: Eukaryota; Metazoa; Chordata; Amphibia; Anura; Hylidae. The record is from RNAcentral.
AGAAACUUAGGAUAAUUAAGACCAAGUGCCUUCAAAGCUCUAAGUAGAAGUUUAAAUCUUCUAGUUUCUG